RNAcentral lists this long non-coding RNA (5202 nucleotides) under Medicago truncatula (barrel medic). Its description in RNAcentral is "lncRNA gene32905". The record is from RNAcentral. Lineage: Eukaryota; Viridiplantae; Streptophyta; Magnoliopsida; Fabales; Fabaceae.
GAACUAGGCAGGGAGCAACACGGUUUUGUGCAGCAAGCACAUUAUCACAUUUUUUUGAGAUUUUUUUGAUUUCUUAGAGAAAGAGAGCAUUUUUAGAGAGACACAAAACAAGGUGUUAGGUGUAGAUUCAACCCAAGAUUUAUUGAGACAUCAUGAGUCAAGGAUGGAAUCUUCAUCUUUUCUUCAUCCUUUGCAAAGCUAUCAUAGAUAUAUGUAGCUACAUCUACCCUUGUGGGUUUUGAGGUAUUCAAACAAGCCAUUAUGUAAACUCUUGAUCAUUUAAUAUAUGGUUCUAGCUAUUUAUUCAAUAUUGUUGUUAUUCUUGCAUUUAAUGUUUUAUUGAAAUUCAAAAUGAUAUGGACACAUACUUUUGAAUCUAGAAAUAGAAUAACAAUCUAUCUUAAGUUAUCACUCUAGACAUGAAUGUUAAUAUUUGAUAAUCACUUUUAAUCUAGAACUUAAUGCUUUUGGGUAAUUUAAUCGUUUGGGAAAUCGUCGAUUAAGCUAUCCAAUCGACUUUGUGAUCGUUUAAAUGUUUGGGAAAUCGAUGUUUAAACGAUCCCUUAGAAAUAACGAUAUCAUUUGGACACGAAUGAUAUUGUUGAGUGAUUGUGAUAAUAUAGUUUAAAAAGCUAGAAUCUGUUAUUUGAUCGUGAGAUUGUAGUUGUUACGCUUGGUUGAGUGUCUCUGACCUCAAGCGAAAUGACCCUAUCUCUUCUCUAUUUAUUUUAUGUCAAAUAGUUAAUAUAGUUUACACAAACACACAUUUUAAAUCCAUACACUUAGAACAAUAUUGAUUGUUGAAUGACUUUAAUAUCACGCUAGUCCUUGUGGAGACGAUAUACACAAAAAUACUUACUUUUGAUUGAUAGAAAAAUACUACAUCAAUAACGUGCAACUUAUUCUUCAUUCUUCUUCCCAUCUUGAUUGUUAAAUUCUCUUGUUCCAGAAUUGCCGUCGUUUUCAAUUAUCGUGAGAAUCGUUGUUGUCCUUUUGAUUCUAGACAUUGUUAGAAUCGGUGUUGUUUCAAUAAUCACAUCAGGUAUCGUGACUUGAUUUUUCUUCUUGAUUUAAUUUUUCAUUUUCGUUUCUUUCUCACUACUAUCGUGACUUGAUUGCAACCGUUUCACACUUGUAAUGCGAAAGUGGUGGCUUUCAACUUUGGCAUGAAUUCCAAUGAUGCUUCCAUUUUUAUUUGGGUUUUGAGUUUGAUUGAGUUGUUUGAGAUUAUAUAAAAUAGUAUUUUAUCACACAUAUUUUGCGUUUGAUUAAGAUAAAUGGAUCUUCGAUGCGUUGAUUAUUAAUUUUAUUUUUGGUACAAUAUCGAUUAUUAAAUUUACUUUUGGAAUUUGUUUUAUUCAAAUCAUUAUAUUGUGUUGUUAUUUUGUUUUUGUUUCUGGUGUAUUUUGUGUUGCCGAAAUGAACAUUUGUUGAGAUUGUAACACGGUGUGAGAUCGGUUAAAGCUAUGGAAGAGAAGACAAAGUGAAAUAAAUAAAUAAUAAUGCUAAUACAAACAUGAAUUUCAUAAGGUGAGCGUUAAUUCGUGGAUAUAGCUUUUGUAAAGAAUGUCGAUCUCACGAUGUCUGGAAUCAAAUGGACGACAACGAUUCUCACGAUAAUUGGAAACAACGACAAUUCUGGAACGAGAGAAUUGAACAAUCAAAAUGGGAAGAAAAAUGAAGAGGAAAUUGCACGUUAUGCGUGUUCUAGGUUUUGGAAUGGAACAAAAUUUAUGAACGUAUAUGAUGGGUUGAAUUUGAUGUGAAAUUUUAAUUGUUACAAGCCCUAUAGUGUAAAUUAAUUAAAAUUGUUUACCUAAAUAUAAUUAAAUAAAAAUUGUAGGAUUAAAUAUGUUUUUGGUCCCUAUAAAUAUACCAACCUUUCGUUUUAGUCCCUCUAAAAUUUUCCUUCAACUUUUAGUCCCUAUAAAAUUUUUAGUCACAACUUUUAGUCCUUAUUUUUAAGUUAUUUUUUUUUUUGUAUUUUUUAAUGAAAUUGUGCAGAAAUGUGUAGAAUAUUGUAAAAUAAAUUCGCAAAAAAAGUUAGAAGUUUUUAACAAAACACAAAUUUAAUAUGAAUUUUUAACCGUAAUAAAUGUACAAAUUCAUAUUAAAUUCAUGUUUUGUUAAAAAAUUCUAAUUUUUUAGGGAGAGAUUCUUAUAAUAUUAUGAAUUUUUUUGAAAAUUUUUAUUCAAAAAUACUAAUUCUACAUAUGAGUUUAUUUAAAAGAGGGACCAAAAGUAGUGAUUAAAAAUUUUAUAAGGACUAAAAGUUGAAGGAAAAUUUUAGAGAGAUUAAAAUGAAAAGUUGGUAUAUUUGUAGAGACCAAAAACAAAUUUAACUCAAAAUUAAAAGUUAUCUUAUUAAAAUUGAUUUUUUUUUAUAGAAAAAUUGACUCAGUUAUUUGACAUUUAAUGUUACAUUUGUAAAUUGCAUUUUGAUUGGUUGAUAUAUUGAAAGGGUAAAUACCCCUAAUAGAAGAUGACAUUUUGAUAAAAAAAUAAGUGGAUGUAGCUUAUUAACUUGCACCUUAAUGUUUUGGGUGGGUGUUAGCAACCCUAUAUAUAUAUAUAUAUAUAUAUAUAUAUAUAUAUAUAUAUAUAUAUAUAUAUAUAGGGAUUUGCUAGAACACACCCACUAAUUUUUAUGUGGGAGUGUUUUAGCAAGUUAUAACUAAAAAGUUAAUAAAUACACCUUAAGGUGUAUGUUGCUAUAACACACCUUCUAGAAAAAGCAAGUGGGUGUGUUCUAGCAAAUCCUAUAGGCAUUUGCUAGAAUACACCCAUUUAUUUUUUAAAAGGAGUAUAUACAUGUAUGCAUGCAUGUAAUUGAUGAUGUGCAUUAUUGCAAUCUUUAUACAUGUAUGUUAGGUCCAAAUGUCAUGCAUUAAAAUUUUAUAACUCAUAAUGUAUUUAUGUUCAUGUCCAGCAGGGGUAUUGAGCUGGAUAUUCACCAUCAUUUACAUAGUCAAGGACAAGCUUAGUACAAUGAACAGUUGGGGCAGGUAUAUACAUUAUUAUGAAGUUAAGUUUCGAAACUAUAAUUUGCUUUACAGUGAGGGAACUUGAAAAUAUGGCAACUGACCAUAACACGCUGCAGUCAGAGUUGUUGUUAUGGUUGCCAUGUAGUUUAUUACUUGAUAGUCUAUCUGUCAUACAUACAAUCAGGGUUUUAAAUAACUGUCGUGGUUUCUGUUGUUUUUGGAUUUCCAAACUGUUAUAUUUGGAUUUCCAAAUUCUAUUAUCUACCGAAGUUGUUACUAGGUUGAGUCACGACCAGGUCGCUCUCUUUAAGACAUUUCGUGGCACUACCUAAAAUUGUGCAAGGCAGACUAUCAACCACGCCGCCUCCAGGAUAAAACAAGCCCAGCUGCAACUGUGCGGUUAAUACUGUACUAUAGAAAACCGUUCGAGAAUUACACCCUCAAAUAUGGUACUAAGACCACUCUUUAAUACUGAAACCACUUUAAUAUUACCACUCUGUUAUGGUGCUGAGACCACUCAAAUAUGGUGUUAACACCAUUCUAACUUUAAGUUCUCCAAACUAUCAAUAUGGUACUACGACCACUCAAAUAUGGUGAUACCACCAUUUCUUCUCAAAUAAAAAAUAUUGAAAUACUUUUUAUAUAUACUGUUAAGAUCAUUCUUAAUUCCGACGGGACAUUGUUCUUCCAAAUAGGGACUAUGAUCUUAAAAGUACUCUUUAUUCUGAAGGGACAUAUAUUAUCGAAGGGACUAUGUUUUUAAGAUCAUUCUUAAUUCUGAAGGGACAUUAAACCGAAAAAGGGACUAUGGUCUUAAGAACACUCUUAAAUCCGAAGGGACAGAAAAAGGAGAUGAAGAGAAGAAAGACUCGUCAACACAAGUCAAGAAAGAGAGAAGAGAGAAAGAGUUCCCGACAACUCAAUGAAACUCUUUGGUGUUUUUUGAACUGAGUGGAGUCCUCUAUUUAUAUAGAGAUUCUGUAACUGUUUUAGCAAAAAUUGCGACAACAAUUACUCUAAUGGAUAAGAUUAAAAUGGAGUUUUAUCCAUUAAUCAGUUCAACAACACUUGUGGAUAGGAUCAAAAGAAACAAAUCCACAAAAGUGGAGGUAACAAACUAUUGGAUUUGAAUGAAUGAAAUAUAAUAAUAAUUAAAUUAUUAUUCUUAUCACAACCACCAUAAACUAAAUUUAUGGAAAGUGAUAUUCUCAAAUAAAAAUAAUAAUUACUAUUAUUUUUAUCAUUAUCAAGUAUUUAAAAUUAAAUACCACAAUUUAAACACUACUAAUGUGUGUGUUCUAUUUUAUGCGGGACCCCCACACUCUAUUUUUUCAAUUCACACAACAUUAGAUCAAAGUAUAAUUACUUGGUGUUUAAUCUUUCAAUUUUUCAUCCAACAUCACAUCAAUGUUCCAACAGUUUUGAUCGCGGUCACGUUAAGGUUGUUGCGAUUUCGAGUGUUACGGAUGUUGCGUUACAGAUUGUGGUUGUCGCGGUGUGAAUUAAUCACAACAAUGCACAAAUAUUAUUAAAUCAUUUAUUCUAUCAUAUAGUGUAUAAUAACUUAAUUUGAACUAUUAUUUUAUAUAUUUUAAGAUUGUUAAAAUAAAUAUAAUAAUUACGACACUUUAGGACAUGAAAUAGGCAAUGAAAGAAAUAUGGGAGAGUAUUGGCUCAUCACAGUCUCUCAGUAUCUAUUUUCAUCUCACCCUGAAAACAGGUAAAAAUGGUAUCAGUGACCACCUAUACCUUUUUGUCGGGUAUAUGCCUUAUCAAGUCUGUAUGGCUCAUUGUUGUUUGCUUUUAUUCUUUCUUUCCUUUUUUGGUUUUAUUAGGGUAUUGAAAAUGACAUUCAUUUUGGUUGGUGUUGUUGCAGGCUUGUAGCUGUUCUUGAGAUUGCAAAGGUCGACUCACCGAAGUUACUUGAAUAACUUUGGUGGAAAUCUUGUUUGUUUGGUACUAUAGACUAUACAUUAUCUAGAAGGAAAAUGCUACAGUACACGACAAAUUCUGUCGUCAAAUUUGCACAAAUCAACGUAUAAUUGUAGUUUGGUAUUUUAUCUUAAUUUUAAUUUGAGUCAAGGUGGCUAAAUAUGUCUCUGAAGUGCAAAGACACGUUUCCAUGUUGUGUAUUUUCCAAAUCAUGCAUGUCUUUGUCUCAUCUUACCAUUGACAUGUGGAAAGGUGGAUAUCCUUAGAUGUGUAUGAUAUCUCUUUG